Molecule: unclassified non-coding RNA, 2690 nt
Filed under: Chelonus insularis
Lineage: Eukaryota; Metazoa; Arthropoda; Insecta; Hymenoptera; Braconidae
Description: palmitoyltransferase ZDHHC15B, transcript variant X1
Source: RNAcentral
UUUUUUCUCUUAUCUCUUCCUUCAUUUAAAAAAAAUACCAGUAACUUGAGAUUAAAUUUUAUGAAAAAUAAUAUUUCAAAAUCUUCAUUAAAUAGUAACAUGUCAAAAAGACAUCUACUAAUUGGAUCAUUUUAUCUAUUCUACAAACAAUGUUAUGGAAACUAUAAAUGUUAAUAAAAUUACAUUUUUUGGUAUAAAUUAAUGUAAUAUUGAUUUUUUGAUUAUUAAUAUUAUCUUCUAUGACAGUUGCUAAUAUAAUGGGUAAACAAGAUGGAUCAUGUUGGUGGUGUGUUAAAGUAUUUAAAUGGGUACCAGUUAUAUUCAUAUUGUCAAUUGUUUUCUGGUCUUAUUAUGCGUACGUCAUACACUUAUGCUACUAUACUAUUCAUAGCUACGUACAAAAAACUUUAUAUUUAAUAUUUUUUCACAUUUUCUUCGCUAUGUUUCUCUGGUCUUAUUGGCAAACAGUUACGACGAAUUUAAUGCCUGUUCCUGAUACUUUUAAAGUUCCUGCUAUUGAAAUGGAGAAAUUACAACAAGCACAAAACGAAGAAACUCAAUUUGCUAUUUUAGAAAGAUUAGGACAAAAUUUACCUAUUACCAAUAGAACUGUUCGAGGAGCUAUACGAUUUUGUGAAAAGUGUCAAGUAAUCAAGCCAGAUCGAGCUCACCAUUGUAGCGUAUGUCGAUCAUGUGUUUUAAAAAUGGACCAUCAUUGUCCAUGGGUUAACAAUUGUGUAGCUUAUCAUAAUUACAAAUUUUUCGUAUUAUUUCUGGGUUAUGCGUUGCUUUAUUGUGUGUUUAUCGCAGCCACAACGUUGCAAUAUUUUAUACAUUUUUGGAAGGGUGAAUCAGAUGGAAUGGGAAAGUUUCAUUUGUUAUUUUUAUUUUUUAUCGCAUUAAUGUUUGCAGUAAGCUUGAAUUCCCUUUUUUUCUAUCACUGCUACCUCAUUAUACACAAUCGAUCGACGUUAGAGGCAUUUAGACCACCAAUGUUUCGAAUGGGAAAGGAUAAGGAUGGUUUUAGCAUUGGAAAAUAUAAUAAUUUCCUCGAAGUCUUUGGUGAUAAUAAAAAAUUAUGGUUCUUCCCUGUUUUUACUAGUCUUGGAAAUGGAGUGACCUACCCAGUACGGACACAACAUCAAGGCCCGAAUACUUACAACUCCAUGGGCAGUACUCAAAACAGUUUUGGUGAUGGGAUCUCUUUUCCGGAAAGGAUGUAUGAUGAAGAUACACACAAUCUACUUGACGAUAAUGGGCCUUAAACGAAAAAUAGAUAGAUAAAAAAAAACAAGGAAUAAUGAACAAAAUAUGUCAGUAUUUCUAUCCGACACAUUUAAUCUUCGGCUCAGGUAUUUUAUGAUCGUAUAUUUAUCGUUACACGUUAAAAAAGGAACAACAGUUUGAGAAAGAAAUUUCCAGAUCAUGUUGACUUGAGGAUUAAACUUUUUUAAUAAUCUGUUAAUUAUAAUGACAUUAUUUUUAAUUUGAUUACAAUUCCAGGAAUUAAUUUAUAAGUCAGUAAUCAAGACAAUAAUAUGCAUUUAUUUAUUUUUAUUUAAACGCAAGAACGAAAAUAAAAUGAUUAAAAAUCUUAUAACUGAUGUUAUAAAAAAAAGAUUAGGCAUUCAGUAUUUAAAAACAAAAUUAAUAAAUAGGAACGAAUUUGAUGUAAUGAUUAUUUAAUAAUUACUUUAAAAUAGCGAGAUCAAUGCAAACAUUCCAUUAAAAAGCUAUUAUUAGUUUUCUAAUUGUCAUUACUAAGUAAUCAAAUAAUAAUAAAUAUUUAAUGUAAAUAGUGUAAGUAAGAAUAUAUAUUUGAAUGCAAUUUUAUGUAUCAACAUAUCGAAAAAUGUGGUAUAAAUAAAUAUAUAUCAUUACGAGCACUUUUUGAUAUAAUUAUCUUCAAAUUUACCUGUAUAUAAAUGUAUUUGGAAUACGUGAAAAUAUAUUGAAAACUUGUUAGGAGAUUUUAAUACUUUGGUUUAAAAUCACUGUUCUAAUUUUUUGCUGAGCUUUUAAAAUUUUUUCCCAUUAUUUUAAUUUUGAAUAAUUACAUUAAAUCUCAUUUUUUAAUAAAUGCUUCCAGUUUUUCAACAACAAUGCACUAAUGAAAAUUUUUCACUGAUUUUGCUGAUUCAAGGUUUUACUGGGUAAAAGCAUGAUUUUUAAUGGUCGCCAAAUUUUUAUUUUGGUUUUCAACCAAAACUAAUCUAAUAUACUUAACUCAUUAUCUAAUAAAGUUAUUGAAUAAUCAAAUAUUAAUAUGGAUUUGAGAUAAGUCUUUUAUUACUUAGGUGUGAUCUAGAGAUGAGUAUGGUAGAGGAGGCAACAAUUCUUGCUCUUGGUGCUGGUACGGCUCUUGUAGGACCUGUAGUGGAAGUCAAUGAACCUCUUGUGAAUUCAAAUGAAACAGUUUGAAGUUUAACUUUAAAUAUUUUUUUUUUAUUACUUAAAAUAAUUUAUUAUAAUUAUAGUCACAAUUAAUUUAUUAUUUCUUUAUUGUAUACUGCCAUUACUUCAAUGAUCAAAAUUUAUUGUUUAUUAACAACAUUAAGUGUUAUGAACGUUUUUUAUUGAAAUUUUUCUUUAUUAUAUUUUGCUGAUCCUGUUAUUUUAAGUUCUGUUAAUUUAUAUUUAUAACAAAUAGUCUUAAUACAUUUUUAUGCGUAAAUAAAUAUAAAAAAAUA